AGGAUGGGCUGCUGCGGAAUGCAGGGAGAAACUUAUAAAUGAAAUGGAUCCUUUGUGGAAAAUCAGUCAAGAGACACAAAACAAUAUAAAUCAGGAAACUAGCAAAACUCAUUCAUUAGUGAACUAUGUGGCUUUACGGAAGGUGAUGAUAAAAAUUCAAUAUCAAAAGACACAUCUAUUUCUGCCUGAGAAGGAGCAACUGCAUCUGCAGGCACCGGACAAAGAAGCAGAAUAGCUUUUUCAACAACUACAAGAUAGUGAAUUGAGGAUGACUCAACA
This is a non-coding RNA of Saimiri boliviensis boliviensis (Bolivian squirrel monkey), 279 nucleotides long. The record is from RefSeq and is a predicted model, not a curated record. NCBI's taxonomy places the organism in Eukaryota, Metazoa, Chordata, Mammalia, Primates, Cebidae.